AUGAUUUGGGCCAAGCCAAUCUCGCUGAGCUGCCAAUCAUCUGGAAAGAUGCGAGCACAGAGAGGCAAGAUUGCACAGUGGCCUCAUGCCGGACACCAGGCCCUGGACUCCAGAUUUUCCAGGAGCCUAGGAUGCUUUUCAUCUUCUCUCAUCCCUCACAGCAUCUUCUCUUACGGUGAUGAACUCAAGUUCACAGACUUCAUCUUUUGCAGCCCUCAGCACCCUGUGAGGAGUGAGGGGCGAGGGUAG
Molecule: long non-coding RNA, 249 nt
Filed under: Papio anubis (olive baboon)
Lineage: Eukaryota; Metazoa; Chordata; Mammalia; Primates; Cercopithecidae
Description: lncRNA (ENSPANG00000042552.1)
Source: RNAcentral